CAGCAGCCGCGGUAAAACGAACCGUCCGAACGUUAUUCGGAAUUACUGGGCUUAAAGCGCGUGUAGGCGGAUUCGCACGUCGGGCGCUGGAAUCCCCUGGCUUAACCAGGGAAGUGGCACCGAUACGGCGAGUCUGGAGGGAGGUAGGGGGGUCUGGAACUUCCGGUGGAGCGGUGAAAUGUGUUGAGAUCGGAAGGAACGCCCGUGGCGAAAGCGAGGCCCUGGACCUUUUCUGACGCUGAGACGCGAAAGCCAGGGGAGCGAACGGGAUUAGAUACCCCUGUAGUCCUGUCUCUUAUAC
RNAcentral lists this ribosomal RNA (301 nucleotides) under uncultured bacterium. RNAcentral describes it as "partial 16S ribosomal RNA". It matches the Rfam family "Bacterial small subunit ribosomal RNA", at positions 509 to 808 of the family's 1533-position model. The record is from RNAcentral.